This is a long non-coding RNA of Aedes albopictus (Asian tiger mosquito), 968 nucleotides long. RefSeq lists it as uncharacterized. The record is from RefSeq and is a predicted model, not a curated record. The transcript has 3 exons. NCBI's taxonomy places the organism in Eukaryota, Metazoa, Arthropoda, Insecta, Diptera, Culicidae.
CGUUUUAGUAUAUUCUGUUGUAAAUUGGCAUAAUUACAUUCAUAAUCAGUUAAACUAGCCACACUCGGAGGAAAAGCAAACCCUCAAAUAAUGCCCACUCGAACUGACAUGCCAACCGCCAAUUUAAAUUGCACCCGUUAGACCGACAAACGCUUAUGCCGACAAGCCCGACGCUGCUGUCAAUCAAGCAAAGCGGCGCGACGAACGCCGCCAACACACAUACUGCUGCAUCGGGUUCAGAAAACACAAAACUUCUGAUCUGCCACCACGUCACCGCAAAGCAUCACUCCACAAAAGUUGUUCGAUAGUGUCGGGUGUGCUCAUCGUGUGUGGAUCGUUUAGCAUCCACGAACAAGUAGAGAAGGCGAAAAUCAAAGACGGUUAAGUUGAGAGGUCGAGCAGAACCACACGGGAACGGUUGCCGUGUCCCAUACGGCACGGUGAAGCACGGACGACACGCCUGGCAUCGAACAAUCGACAAAAGCACACUCUGGAUCGCCACGUGUCUGGAAAGAAACGAAGCUCUCGAUCGAUCCGAAGCAGCAGGCCAAACGGUGCGGACAGCACGAGAAAAAUCAAAAACCCCUCUGGGGUUUUUAUGUCGCACUGGAUUGCGUCACACCAUCGCUUUUCGGAGGCGGUAAUCACCGGCCAAGGUGCACGCAAGGCCAGGCAGCUUCGAUCGGACCAGCAGACCGGAAUCAGUUCCCUCGGACGGAUCAGCGGAAGCAGGAGCUACAGUUCGGAGAAAGAGCACUCUCGGCUGCCAUCACCCGAGAAAGGAUCGCCGACAGGCGGCUUCGGAAGAGGCCUACGAACACAGGGCAUCGCUGUUGAAGUGAGGUUAUGCUCCGGAUGUAACAUCACGGGAAGAAGGCCGUCGGUUCAGAACUGCGAGUGCGAAAGGCGUCGGAAAGAGGCACGUUCCGAAGAGUGCCGGAUUCGAGCGAAGCGUCGAGAGGAAUAAA